Malania oleifera is the source of this 427-nucleotide long non-coding RNA. RefSeq lists it as uncharacterized. The transcript has 3 exons. The record is from RefSeq and is a predicted model, not a curated record. Lineage: Eukaryota; Viridiplantae; Streptophyta; Magnoliopsida; Santalales; Ximeniaceae.
CCUAAUUCUCGACCCCCCACGGCCCACCCUCUUCUCCUCAAUGUCUCUUCGUGCGGAUCUCUCUCUCUCUCUCUCUCUCUCUCUCACACACACACACACACACACGCAGAUACUCUCUGGUUAUAGCUGAUCAACCUUCUCUCUCGUCUUCCAAGGAUCUGAAUUUGAAACCAAAUUGGAAGAGCAGGAGUUUGCAUUCUGGUCUGCUUGAUUCCAAUUUGCUGUAUUUGCAAUUGAAGGAGGCUUUGGCAAUUGCAGUUUAGGUCGAAACCACAAGAAAUUGAGGUUUAGUUUCAAAUUAUUUGGUUUGUAGAACUUUUAGUUUGCAUGAUAGUUAUUCCUUAAAAUGUAUCUUUUUGGCAUUGUUUAGUGUGUAUUUCUUUUUGUAUAAAUCAAGAAAUUUGUGAAUCUAUACUUUCUUCAUUAA